AACGAACGCUGGCGGCAUGCCUAACACAUGCAAGUCGAACGGGAUCCUAGCUUGCUAGGUGAGAGUGGCGGACGGGUGAGUAACACGUGGGAAUCUGCCUUUUGGUUCGGGAUAACCGCGGGAAACUGCGGCUAAUACCGAAUGCCCUCGAGAGAGGAAAGAUUUAUCGCCAGAAGAGGAGCCCGCGUCCGAUUAGGUAGUUGGUGGGGUAAAAGGCCUACCAAGCCGACGAUCGGUAGCUGGUCUGAGAGGAUGAUCAGCCACACUGGGACUGAGAUACGGCCCAGACUCCUACGGGAGGCAGCAGUGGGGAAUAUUGGACAAUGGGGGCAACCCUGAUCCAGCGAUGCCGCGUGUGUGAAGAAGGCCUGAGGGUUGUAAAGCACUUUAGUUGGGGAGGAAGAAUCCAGAGAUGAAUAAGCUAUGGAAAUGACGUUACCCAAAGAAUAAGCACCGGCUAACUCUGUGCCAGCA
This 474-nucleotide ribosomal RNA is filed under the name uncultured bacterium. RNAcentral describes it as "bacterial SSU rRNA". It matches the Rfam family "Bacterial small subunit ribosomal RNA", at positions 29 to 513 of the family's 1533-position model. The record is from RNAcentral.